This 219-nucleotide unclassified non-coding RNA is filed under the name plant metagenome. RNAcentral describes it as "partial contains small subunit ribosomal RNA, internal transcribed spacer 1, and 5.8S ribosomal RNA". The record is from RNAcentral.
UUUCCGUAGGUGAACCUGCGGAAGGAUCAUUACAGAGUUCAUGCCCCACGGGUAGAUCUCCCACCCUUGAAUAUUUAUACCUUAGUUGCUUUGGCAGGCCGUGGAAACACCAUGGGCUCCGGCUUAUGCGUGCCUGCCAGAGGAAACAAACUCUGUUUUUAGCGAUGUCUGAGUACUAUAUAAUAGUUAAAACUUUCAACAACGGAUCUCUUGGUUCUG